RNAcentral lists this long non-coding RNA (603 nucleotides) under Manihot esculenta (cassava). RNAcentral describes it as "long non-coding RNA (MESC_LNC012556)". Lineage: Eukaryota; Viridiplantae; Streptophyta; Magnoliopsida; Malpighiales; Euphorbiaceae. The record is from RNAcentral.
GUUCGGCCGCCGAAGGUGUUGAGGAGGUGGUUUCGGCUGCCUAAACCUGCCCCCGAAGGAUUGGACUUUCGUCUCUGGAGGGAAGGUUCGGCCGCCGAAGGUGCCGCCGAAGGUUAGAGACUUUCGUCUCUGGAGUGUGUUUUGGCCCCCUAACCUUGCCCCCGAAGGCUUCGGCCGCCGAAAGAGGAGAUUCGGCCGCCGAAAGUAGGCGAGUUUCGUCUCUGGAGAGGACAUUCGGCCGCCGAACCUGCCGCCGAAAGUGCCCUGUCCAGCCUUCUUUUGCAUGUUUUCUGAGAUUGUGUUAAGAGCUUUUAGAGGAGUUUUGGGAAGUUUUCUAGAGUUGGUAAAGAGUAUAGUUGACACCUCAUUCGAGUCCAUUUGUGUAGGAUUGGACCCGAGAGAUCGAGGAGGUCAGCAGAGUUAGAGGUUGCAGAGUCAGUUCAAUAUCUGCCAGAGGAGCAGAGGUGAGUAGAACUAAACUUAAUCUUUUAUUAAAGAAACAUAAUGCUUUAGCAUAGUUCAUGCAUCAUGAAUGCUAUGAUAUGUAUUAGAAUCACGAAUGUGAAGCAUUGCAUAUUAUGUGAUCAGAGAUUAGGUGGACCC